Molecule: ribosomal RNA, 302 nt
Filed under: uncultured bacterium
Lineage: Bacteria
Description: bacterial SSU rRNA
Rfam family: Bacterial small subunit ribosomal RNA
Source: RNAcentral
GAUGAACGCUGGCGGCGUGCCUAAUACAUGCAAGUCGAACGCGAGCAGCAAUGCUCGAGUGGCGAACGGGUGAGUAAUACAUAAGUAACCUGCCCUAGACAGGGGGAUAACUGCUGGAAACGGCAGCUAAGACCGCAUAGGUAUGGACACUGCAUGGUGACCAUAUUAAAAGUGCCAAGGCACUGGUAGAGGAUGGACUUAUGGCACAUUAGCUGGUUGGUGAGGUAACGGCCCACCAAGGCAAUGAUGGGUAGCCGGCCUGAGAGGGUGAACGGCCACAAGGGGACUGAGACACGGCCCUU